RNAcentral lists this ribosomal RNA (508 nucleotides) under uncultured bacterium. Its description in RNAcentral is "partial 16S ribosomal RNA". It matches the Rfam family "Bacterial small subunit ribosomal RNA", at positions 28 to 507 of the family's 1533-position model. The record is from RNAcentral.
GACGAACGCUGGCGGCGUGCCUAAUACAUGCAAGUCGAACGCUUCUUUCCUCCCGAGUGCUUGCCCUCAAUUGGAAAGAGGAGUGGCGGACGGGUGAGUAACACGUGGGUAACCUACCCAUCAGAGGGGGAUAACACUUGGAAACAGGUGCUAAUACCGCAUAACAGUUUAUGCCGCAUGGCAUAAGAGUGAAAGGCGCUGUCGGGUGUCGCUGAUGGAUGGACCCGCGGUGCAUUAGCUAGUUGGUGAGGUAACGGCUCACCAAGGCCACGAUGCAUAGCCGACCUGAGAGGGUGAUCGGCCACCCUGGGACUGAGACACGGCCCAGACUCCUACGGGAGGCAGCAGUAGGGAAUCUUAGGCAAUGGACGAAAGUCUGACCGAGCAACGCCGCGUGAGUGAAGAAGGUUUUCGGAUCGGAAAACUCUGUUGUUAGAGAAGAACAAGGACGUUAGUAACUGAACGUCCCCUGACGGUAUCUAACCAGAAAGCCACGGCUAACUACGUG